RNAcentral lists this ribosomal RNA (373 nucleotides) under uncultured organism. RNAcentral describes it as "bacterial SSU rRNA". It matches the Rfam family "Bacterial small subunit ribosomal RNA", at positions 526 to 896 of the family's 1533-position model. The record is from RNAcentral.
CGAAGGAUCCAAGCGUUAUCCGGAUUUAUUGGGUUUAAAGGGUGCGUAGGCGGACUAUUAAGUCAGUGGUGAAAGCCUGCAGCUUAACUGCAGAACUGCCAUUGAUACUGAUGGUCUUGAGUACACUUGAGGUGGGCGGAAUGUGUCAUGUAGCGGUGAAAUGCUUAGAUAUGACACGGAACACCUGCGGCGAAGGCGGGUUGCUGGGCUGACACUGACGCUGAUGCGCGAAAGCUAGGGGAGCGAACGGGAUUAGAUACCCCGGUAGUCCUAGCCUUAAACGAUGAAUGCUUGGUGUCUGGGGUUUUAUAGUCCCCGGGUGCCGUCGCUAACGCUUUAAGCAUUCCGCCUGGGGAGUACGGUCGCAAGACUG